This is a long non-coding RNA of Mustela erminea (ermine), 3203 nucleotides long. RefSeq lists it as uncharacterized. Lineage: Eukaryota; Metazoa; Chordata; Mammalia; Carnivora; Mustelidae. The record is from RefSeq and is a predicted model, not a curated record. The transcript is spliced from 2 exons.
GAACCCGAGGAGAAGCUGGGAAAUAAGAGGAACCAGAAAGGAAGAAUGCCAAAGAGAAUGGACAGAGAAAAAACACGUGCUUCGAAAGAAAAUAUUUCCAGUAUUAACUCAAAUAUUCCAUUCCUUAAAUAAUAAUUCGAAAGAGUUUCGUAUAUCCUGGAAUAAUAUGUUCUAUCUUCACAGUAUUCUUAUUUUCUGAUUUUUCAAAUAAUACGAAAACAUAGUUUACUGUGUUAAAGUUGCAUUUUUCUUAAUAAAUCAAAGACGUUACAAAUAUUUCUCCAGGGAGGUUUAAAAUGAUGUUGUCUCUUUAACAUGAGAAUGAACACAAAUCUUCAAAAUUCCUAUGUGCUGUCUUUUGGAGGAAGCUGGAUCAUACUCUUCUUUCAUGUUUUCCAAAUUUGAAAUGACCUUUAGGCUCCAGAUGAUGUAACAUAGGUCUAGAAAGAUGUUAAAAUCAACAGGUUUGAGAAGGGAAGGAUUCUGUUUUUCCUUUUUGUAUAUACUGCUGAUUUCAUCCCUGGUCAUAUUUUAUUUAUGUAUUAAUUUCACAGAAUAUUAAUAUGAUUCUUCCAAAAGCAUGCUAGUGUAUAUGGGCACAUUCAUUCUGACAGGAUAAUUUUUACUACUGCCUAACAUUAUACUAAAAUAGUGCUUUAUCUAUUUUUAAUUACAGAAUGCUAAUGUUUUGAGAAAACUAUUGAAUUUUAGUUUAGAGGCGGUUGUGCUAGGGAGCAAACGCCCCACCUCCCGUACAAUGCACUCACCAUAUGUAACCUUACAAAUAGAAGUAAUCCACGACUGUAUUAACAAACGAUGCUUUGUGUUAGGGAAGGAAAGGGUUAACAGACGGAUUGAUGUCAUAACCUAUACGGCUCUGUCCUUGUUUGGCAAUAAUGUACCCCAAAUACUAGACUGUUGAACUAACAAUGGCUGUGUUAAAGAAGACUAAAUAAACUAAAAAAUAAAAAGUUUAUAACAAUGUCAGUUUUUUUGGCAGAACGAUUUUAGAACAAGCAAGAAGAAUUGAUUUUUAAACUCUCCCCCAAACAGAGCUGUAACGUUCAUCGUUUCCAUCUUGGUCUCCCCUAUUAACUCUGCUUUCUUUUUCCCCUGAUCUCAUUUAGAAAUCCAAGUCUCAUUCUUCAAGUUUAACUUUCUUGACAUCACUUUGCCAGCCUUGGAGAGCACCUGACUUUAUCACAGCAGCUUGAUAAAUUUGAUAGUUCCAUCUGCAUUUUUAUUGUUUUGUACCAGACCUUAUAAUGCCUUAAAGAGCCCUGCAAACAUGGGUGUAUUGAGUGAAUGUGCAGUUCAUUCACAUGGAACAACCUUUAUCGGCGGUGGCACCAUGGGCUUGGUAGAGGACUUCGUUCACUCCAGGCCCUGAGCUGGCUUAUUUAACCUGUAUGAAGUUGCUGUCGCUUUUUGCAGCCAGAGUUCGGGGAUCCAGAGUUAAUGUACAGUUUAUAUUUUUCUUUCCAAAAAUGCUUAUGCCGUUUGUUCCUAUGAACUAUUUGCAUGCUGGCGAAAAGUCACGCUUAAAGCUUUUUAGAUUUUAGUGACAAACACUUAUUUUGUGUUCCCCAUUUGAAGCAUUAAAAUUCUAAGUAAUAAAACAGCGAAUUAGGUCAGAUAAUUGUUGGAAAACACAUACUAUAGGGAUUAGAGAGAGCAGCAGUGGUGGAAAACGAAGCUGUUUGUUCUGUAUCAUUGUUGAGUUAUUUGCACACUGGUGAGGCUGAAAAGUCCCCAGAUUAGAUAUGUCUUCCUUCUACCCGUUCCUAACUUUAUGUGCCUGGAGCUCAGGAACUAGAUUAGUUUCCCCCCAAAGACGGGUUAUACAUUAAUAAGCACUGAGAUCUGUAUCUCAGGAAUACAAUUCAGGAGUGAAGAAGCAUCUCUUCUACAGACCACAAAUCUCACCAAAAUAUAGCGAAGAUGUCACUUUACUACAAGACCUUGUUUUUCAUGUACACAGACACGCGCAUUUCAACAGGAAUAUUUUCCUCUUUCCACUCAGGAAUCUAGCAUUUGGCUGAAUUUCUUUUUAUGCAUGAAAAUAAAAGCUCCACACUAAGGCCACUUCUGCACAAAAUAAAGAUUUUUCACAUUUAUCGUAUGAUGAAAGCCCCAAAUUUUCUGUUUUUAGCACUGCUCGUGUGUUUCAGUCCACCAUCAGGAGACGAGAGGCUCCUUCCACGGACCAAACCGCUAGUUUCACCGACUUAAGACGUGUGCAAGUUUCCAUAACUGCUGAAUGUCAGAGCAGCGCCCAGCGCAGCCUGGGAUCCUUGCUGCUGCCGAGACAGACCCCUAAUGGCAUCAUCCAACUGUGCUUAAUGAUGAAUCACUUUAUAAGCUCUCAGAUGGCAUCGUAGUGACUUCAUUUAUCGUCCCAUAUAUGGCAUCAGAUGCAGCUGCACUUUAUAAAUGAUUUGGGCGCUUGUCACACCAAGGCCAGGAAAACACAGCCCCCAGUUCCCAGGGAGCCACAGAGAGACGAUUAUUCGGGUCUGCUGAGGCCACCCAGCGGCUCCCGAGCCUCUCGGCAUCACCCCUCGUCAGUAGCUGCGGGGCUCACUGUGGGCCGGGUUUAAACAGGGUGAGCUGUCAGCGAGGUGCUGGAGUCAGCUCGCUCCAAGACGGCACAACAAGCCUGCCUCCGACUCAAGUGAAAGCAGUCAUGUCCUGUGUCAUACUAGAGAAACUGCUCUCUCCUGAGGGACACAUCCUCUCACAGGCUGAGGAAACAAGCAAACACCAGAUCAGCGUGGGGGGCGAUGCUGGGGGCUGGGGAUUGGGUGAACCUGGAGGACAUGGAGACCAAGCCUCUGAGUACGAUUCCUACAGAACCAUCUUCUCAAGGAAAACAGGAGCCAGGUCAAGCGAAUGCUGAUGUCUCCAUCUCUGUGGGCAGGCCAUCAGAGACAACCUUGGGGCCAGCCCUCCCUCGUCAAGAGGUACGCAGGCAGCCACAUCUUCAGAGGCUUUGGCAGUGGUCACAAACCCAAACGCCUGCAGGGCUCACACGGGAGUAAAAUUGUCCAAGAUGGUGGCAGCCGCCGAAGCAAAGUUGUCACGCGUGGACGUGUGGGCACCUUACAGUGCAUCUUCCCGGAGGCAGCGCCUUUUUCUAAUUCCCAGAAAGGGAUGGUACCCUCUGGAUGCCGCCCUGGAUUGUGGUGAACCGACAGCCAUUA